UUCUCUGUGUUGCUUGGAGCCUAUCCUGGCACUCACUGUGUAGACCAGGCUAGCCUGGAACUCACAGAGAUUCACCUGCCUCUGCCUCCCUAGUGCUGGGAUUAAAGGCGUGCGCCACCACCGCCCG
RNAcentral lists this microRNA precursor (127 nucleotides) under Mesocricetus auratus (golden hamster). RNAcentral describes it as "miRNA (ENSMAUG00000002059.1)". Lineage: Eukaryota; Metazoa; Chordata; Mammalia; Rodentia; Cricetidae. The record is from RNAcentral.